CAUCAUUCAAUAAUUAAUAAAUUAAUGUAGUUUUACCAUGUGUAGUUCAAGAACACGAGCAUUAGACAGUGUAUUCCAGGUGGCAAGUCGAAUAGAACUUUCAACACAGCGGUGUAAAUAUACUGAAACUUGCAGUCCAAAAAUUAGAUCACCGUAAGAUAUGGAAGAAAACUGCUCUACAAGUUCUUCAAUAAAUGACGAGUAACUUUCGUGAAUAUCGGAUUUGAACCUCAGGAACUCAAUAUGCUUUUUAUCAUCCGAAAUAGCUUCUUUAUUUUGGUUAAACCUCUCCUUAUCAAGAAGCUCACCGUAAAGAUCCUGUAAAGCUUCAAAAGUUUCCCUGCCUUGAUCUUGUUCCAGUAUUUCCAUUCCAACAAGGAAAUUGACAGAUAAUGAAUGUAACUUCCAUGUCAAUGAUACACGCUGAAUAGGAGAAGGAAUGCCACUUCCUAUAAAACUGGACAUUGUUUCAAUGCCUAAAAUAAAGAAAAGUCCACAUUUGGCCACUUUAAGCAAAUUAGCGGGAUCAUGUGGGUUAUGUACACUACCAACUUUUUGAGGACCAGCUCGCUUAGUAAGGGGAAUUGUUGAGGUUGGACUAAGGUAAAAGUGGACCGGAAGUGGUAGGUUCUGUCGAGCGCAUUCUAUCAUCAAAGAAUUAUAGCAAGGACUUGUUGUAGAAGACAUAUAUGAGUCUUCAUAUAUCGUAUCCAAACACACAUCGGCUUUUGGAGUGGCCUUAAAAAUAGAAAAGAACCCAUUAUCUUCAAAACUGUGAGGAAGAAGAAUGAGUUCUGAGUUUUCUCCUUUUCCAAUUACCCCUAAAAUUGUAAGUUUCGUUCAUUAUCAAUCUGAAAUUAACAAAACAUCAAUUACCCCUUAAAUUGAAGAACGUUAAUCAAUUUACCCCCUCCGUCAAAUUUUUGUAGUGAAUAUGACGUUUUGCAAAUACCCACUGAAGUUUUGCACUUAUAUGCAAAAUGUCCCCGAGCUUGAAAAUUUAUAUUUUUUUAUCUUGUAAUGAGAACUAUUGUUGUUCUUUUUUAUUUAUUUAUUUCGGCGGAAAUAGGAUAGAAAGGUAACAUAGUGAUUUCCUUGAUGAUUAAUUUAUUAAAUUUAAUCUUGAUAGCCAAACCAGGCAAUCAUGGAAUACAAAAUGUCAGUACACUCCAAUCAGUAACAUUUAAGAGAAUCCAUUUACAAAAUCUAAUACCCUUUGUUGCUCUUUCUGAGUGACCUAUAUUUACAUGCUUGAAUACCUCACAAGGAAUUUUUCUCUGCAGCAUCCUUCAACUUCUUUACCUGGGUCAGAAGAGAGGAAUUUCCCUCACAUGCCUCAUUCAAUACUUUCAUCCUGGACUCUAACCAGCUCUCUUCAUGCAGUAGACCAUCCAGCUGCUCAUCCAUGUUAGAUGUUGAUUGCUUGUUAUGCGAAAUGAGGUUCAUUAACAUUCCCUGUAACAGAAAUUCUAUCAGUAACGGUUGCAUAUAGCACAAGGCCAACUACACCAUCAUGCAAGUAUAUGCAGGUGCAAUAUAUCUCAUUCAAAUAGUGAAAUAAUAUUUUGACAAACCUGACAAAAAAUUGGAUGAUUAACAGUUUAAAGAUAUGGUUAAGUACGUUUAGUUGAUAGCUAAUGAAUAUAGCAAUGUAUUUCAACUCAUUCACUAUCCAAAACCAUUAACUAACCACGAUUUUAAGGUUCCAUAUAUACGUGAUAUCCAUUAAUCAUCCAAAUUGUGUUCAAAUAUACAUGAUAUCGAUCAACUGCGAAACAUUCAAAGUCAUUGUUACUUGUGUUCAGUAGACGGUCAAUGAGUUGUGAACAUAAUUAACCAUAUACUUGAACUGUAAUUAAUCAUCCUAAUUGUCAAAAAAUGUUUCAUUUUGUAUCCAAAUAGCACAGUUCUUAAAUAAGGAUUAAUAAGAUACACCAUAAUCUUAUCUUCCACUUUCAUCCAUGGCAAAUACACGCAAACACAAACAUUUACUUGAUAUGUGUUUGGCAGCACAAAUUUUGAAUGGAAAUUUCUCUAAGUAACCAUACAUCCAUCGGGUAAAAAGCAUUCAAAACAUGCUCACCUCAUGUUGCUGCUUCCCAGCAUAAUCUCUCAAGAGAGACCUAACAAGCCUGUUGCGCAGCAAUAACUUAUCCACAGGACAAGCAUUAAAUAUGAAUGAGGAAAGGUGAUGGACAGCCAUAGUAUAUGAAACUGAUCCUCGAAUCUCAGCCCUGUCAAGGGCAUCAGAAACCCAUGACUUAGCAUAAGCCUCCAAGAUCUCUUCAUUAUCCUGCAGCAACAGUACGUUACGAAUGUUUGAUAGAAAUCCAGUAUAUCCAAUGAAUGACUUGUAUACACUGCCAGUUUAAAUUAUGCCAGUGGACCCAUCUUACAUAUUAAUGUGAAAAGAAAAUUGUUCCAACUGCCCUAACCAUUAGAUUCCAAUUAUUGCUACUAAAAGAAAUUACAGAUAACAUUAACAGAAGAAAAAUAAGAGUUACAGAAAACAGAGCAAUUCACAUUCCUUGUAUGAUAACUUGCUUGACAAGCCUUUCAUGUUAGUGUCGAACUUCAAAAAACACGAAAGAUACAGCCUUAGAAUUCUUCACUACAAAAAAACAUGUCACAAAAGAUACACCCUAUUGAUAUGUGCGUGUUUGGUACAAAGAGACUUUUAAAAAUAUAUUAUGAUCUUUGUAUUUAUUGUUUAGGAAUAUUGCAAAGGCAUAUCAUAUCGUAUCAUGCUAUGUAAAUGAGAAUAAUAUUUCCCAUAUUCUGUGAUACAUGUUAGUUGAAACACAAUAUUCAACAUAUGUCACCCACUUAUUUCUCUCUCAACAUGGUAUCUAGAGAUCACUGAUACAAAGGCUAUAACCUCUAGUGUAAUGCAUUUCCAUAUUUCCCUAUUUGUGGUUGGGCCUAUGAAUCAUUGACGAUUGUUUCGUCGUCCAGAUCUUCAUUAUUCUACUCAUCCUUAGAAUACUCUUCAAGUUCAUUAUUAAAUACCACCCCAACAGCUAUAUCUAACUGAGAUACCAGAUGUGCAUAUAUAAAAUUCUUUGAACACUUCAAAAAAUUCACCCAACAACUCUUUUCUUUUACCGAUUUUAGCUUCAAUACAAGAAAAAAUAAAAGUCUACUGUACUCUGUAGCAGAUGUUCUAUGUUUUAAACCACACUUUAAACACAAAUUUUCAAUAAAUUAUAAUCAUGACAACAUACAACAUACAAAUGACAUUUAUAUCUUCGAUUUUAAAAAAAGAACGGGUAUCAAAAGCAUAAGAUAUAUUAUGUGUAGACAAUGUUCCGUAGUAAAAUAACUGAGAAUUAAUUGUUUACCUCUGCAGGUUCAAGAUAUCCUUCAGCGCCAGAAAAACAUUUCUCUAAAGGAGGCAAAAGUUCAAGAACACGAGCAUUAGACAGUGUAUUCCAGGUGGCAAGUCGAAUAGAACUUUCAACACAGCAGUGUAAAUAUACUGAAACUUGCCGUCCAAAAAUUAGAUCACCGUAAGAUAUGGAAGAAAACUGCUCUACAAGUUCUUCAAUAAAUGUCGAGUAACUUUCGUGAAUAUCGGAUUUGAACCUCAGGAACUCAAUAUGCUUUUUAUCAUCCGAAAUAGCUUCUUUAUUUUGGUUAAACCUCUCCUUAUCAAGAAGCUCACCGUAAAGAUCCUGUAAAGCUUCAAAAGUUUCCCUGCCCUGAUCUUGUUCCAGUAUUUCCAUUCCAACAAGGAAAUUGACAGAUAAUGAAUGUAACUUCCAUGUCAAUGAUACACGCUGAAUAGGAGAAGGAAUGCCAGUUCCUAUAAAACUGGACAUUGUUUCAAUGCCUAAAACAAAGAAAAGUCCACAUUUGGCCACUUCAAGCAAAUUAGCGGGAUCAUGUGGGUUAUGUACACUACCAACUUUUUGAGGACCAGCUCGCUUGGUAAGGGGAAUUGUUGAGAUUGGACUAAGGUAAAAGUGGACCGGAAGUGGUAGGUUCUGUCGAGCCCAUUCUAUCAUCAAAGAAUUACAGCAAGGACUUGUUGUAGAAGACAUAUCUGAGUCUUCAUAUAUCGUAUCCAAACGCACAUCGGCUUUUGGAGUGGCCUUAACGCCAGAAGAACUACUGCCAUCCACAGCU
Molecule: long non-coding RNA, 4128 nt
Filed under: Medicago truncatula (barrel medic)
Lineage: Eukaryota; Viridiplantae; Streptophyta; Magnoliopsida; Fabales; Fabaceae
Description: long non-coding RNA (MTRU_LNC000670)
Source: RNAcentral